AAUGCAUAGGAAUCUGCCCGAUAGUGGGGGAUAACCUGGGGAAACUCAGGCUAAUACCGCAUACGUCCUACGGGAGAAAGCAGGGGAUCUUCGGACCUUGCGCUAUCGGAUGAGCCUAUGUCGGAUUAGCUUGUUGGUGAGGUAAUGGCUCACCAAGGCGACGAUCCGUAGCUGGUCUGAGAGGAUGAUCAGCCACAUCGGGACUGAGACACGGCCCGA
This 219-nucleotide ribosomal RNA is filed under the name uncultured bacterium. RNAcentral describes it as "partial 16S ribosomal RNA". It matches the Rfam family "Bacterial small subunit ribosomal RNA", at positions 112 to 334 of the family's 1533-position model. The record is from RNAcentral.